GAGAUUGGAUAGUAUAACCCAACAUGAUCACCCCCAAACCCUAUCAUUUUCUCUCAAUGGUUCUCCCCUUCUUUCAAAGCCGCCAACCCUCUAUCGUUCUCCGCUUCUCUUAACCGUUCUACCGCUUAUUCCUUCAAUCCUCUCUAUCGUUUCUCUCUCAAUCUCGUUCUUGUACCUUCAAUCCUCUCAUUUUGUGCGUGGAGGUUGCCACUUGCAGAAGGGAAGAGCCAUUCGAAAAUGUUGUCACCUCUGAAGGGAGAAGUCAUUCACGGCGAAGGUUCGGGCUAAUGGAGGACCUCGGUCUUGUAAUAUUUCUGAUACUCAACCAUGCCUAUUUUGCGGUACAUUUCGCAUAUGAAUUUGGAGCUUUUGCUUGAGGAAGAGCAACUCAUGACAAUUGAGAAGUUCAAUAAAUGAGCUACAACUUUUAUCGUGCCUCUGGAACUAAAGAAAGAAAGAGCAAAAGCAGCUGCUGCACUCAAGUCACUUCAAGAUAAACAGGAAGAGAAAUACAAGACAAAGCAGAAAAGUUGGUAGAAGAAUACUCAAGUAUACUUAUAACUUGUAACUUGUUGAUGUAGUACAUAACUGAUUAUUUAUAAACUGAGAUUAUAUAUGUAGCAAUCCAGUGCUAUAUAUUUUGAUUUCUUCUCCUAUGUAAUUUUUAUCA
Long non-coding RNA from Humulus lupulus (European hop), 670 nucleotides. RefSeq lists it as uncharacterized. NCBI's taxonomy places the organism in Eukaryota, Viridiplantae, Streptophyta, Magnoliopsida, Rosales, Cannabaceae. The transcript has 3 exons. The record is from RefSeq and is a predicted model, not a curated record.